Gallus gallus (chicken) is the source of this 402-nucleotide long non-coding RNA. The record is from Ensembl. NCBI's taxonomy places the organism in Eukaryota, Metazoa, Chordata, Aves, Galliformes, Phasianidae.
UGACACCAUCCAAAACUUAAGAUUACAGAGACUUUGCCAGCACACUGCCCUCUAAUUAUCUAGCUGCAGAUGUUGCCUGUGCCACAGAGAUCUUUGUGCGGAGGAGCUCUGAAGAUUUCCUGGGAGGCUGCUAUGCAACAAUGAUCAUGCAUGGACUCCUUCAAGGGACAGGUUUUGGGGAAGCACACAAGGAGACAAUAACAGAUCAUCACACAGAAUUUGUCUUGAGAAGGUCCUAACUGCUGCUGGCUUGCAGGAGCAGGUAACUCAGGCAAGGACAGAGAUGAGGUCAUGGAGAGUUGAAGAAGCUUGAGUGUCCUUCAGGCUUAAUACCUGGGACUGACAAUAGGAGAGGAGCUGGUAAGUACUAGGAGAGAAGUAAACAGCCACUUUAUGAGAAAA